Molecule: ribosomal RNA, 327 nt
Filed under: uncultured Candidatus Sumerlaeota bacterium
Lineage: Bacteria; Candidatus Sumerlaeota
Description: bacterial SSU rRNA
Rfam family: Bacterial small subunit ribosomal RNA
Source: RNAcentral
AACGAACGCUGGCGGCGUGGAUUAGGCAUGCAAGUCGUGCGCGAAAGUGGUAGCAAUACUGCGAGUAGAGCGGCGAACUGGUGAGUACAAGGUGACUAACGUGCCCCUGAGUGGGGGAUAACUCGCCGAAAGGCGGGCUAAUACCGCAUGAUCUCCGUGGUGUCUCGGCAUCGCGGAGUAAAGCAGUAAUGCGCUCGGGGAUCGGGUCACCUCCCAUUAGCUAGUUGGUGAGGUAACGGCCCACCAAGGCUACGAUGGGUAGCUGGUCUGAGAGGAUGGUCAGCCACACUGGGACUGAGAUACGGCCCAGACUCCUACGGGAGGCAG